UACGUAGGGACCGAGCGUUGUCCGGAAUCAUUGGGCGUAAAGAGCGUGUAGGCGGCCACUUAAGUCCUGCGUGAAAUCUUGCGGCUCAACCGCAAGCGGUCGUGGGAAACUGGGUGGCUAGAGUGCGGGAGAGGAGAGUGGAAUUCCUGGUGUAGCGGUGAAAUGCGCAGAUAUCGGGAAGAACACCCGUGGCGAAGGCGGCUCUCUGGGACGGUACUGACGCUGAGACGCGAAAGCGUGGGGAGCGAACAGG
Molecule: ribosomal RNA, 253 nt
Filed under: uncultured bacterium
Lineage: Bacteria
Description: partial 16S ribosomal RNA
Rfam family: Bacterial small subunit ribosomal RNA
Source: RNAcentral